Molecule: long non-coding RNA, 4142 nt
Organism: Xenopus laevis (African clawed frog)
Lineage: Eukaryota; Metazoa; Chordata; Amphibia; Anura; Pipidae
Exons: 2
Source: RefSeq, a predicted model, not a curated record
UUUACCGGCAGCUACAUUACCGGUAAAUUUGUAAUACCGGCCGCGGCCUUUGCAGGUAUUUUACCGGCUAGGCAUGUAAAACACUGGCCGGGUGGCAACCCUAGCUACAUUGCCGGUAAAAUUGUAAUACGGGCCCCGGCUGGUAACACUAGUUGCCACCUGGCCGGUAAUAAUGUUGCUUGAUGCCAAUGUUAUUUGAUGCUAUAAAAAUAUAGGAAAGCGGGUAUUUUUUUCCAGAAAAGGCGGCAACCCUACCCCUACCACAGCAGCUAAAUGCCUGAUAUCCCAGUUAUUGGCAUUAAAAGUCUCAUAUAAUUGAUUCCUACUAAUUUCCCUGUCACAACUGUUUCCUGGGGUUUUUAUUUAUUAGAUUUUCCUCACAAGGGAAUUAUAUUGUCUGCUUUGCAUCUUCUCUCACUGAACCUUAAUAUCCAACAUGGAGUCAGAAAAAAAUUCCUUUCACAAACCGCCUUGAAAAAGUAUUUGACUCAGACUUUCCAUGAGAUUCUAGAACGCGCUCGACCGCGCCUUCCUUUGUUUAUUAUUAAACAUUCGUCAUAAUGCGGUUCUAACCGGCUUUGGCCGGACCUACACGACAGAAAUCAUUCCGCAGCACCCCAAGCACCGACGUAAUGUCUAGGAAGACCGAAUGAGAUCAAUCCGCUAGUUACGUGUUUUAGUAUCAUUCCGCCGAUUGUCUUUGAAUAAAAUAACCGUCAGUUUUAAUUGGCCGCGUAUUCAAUCCCUGGUGUCGUUCUGUUGCGUUUAUUUUAUAAGAAGAAGCUCUAAAUCACGGAGCAGUUUGAUCCCUUUUUACUUGUUAAUGGACUUCAUUUUCAGUCGUAUUCUCUUUAUGAAAUACAACGCCAGACUACAGUUUGUGGUUUUUACAUAAAGCCCUGGUCGUUCGAAAUGGGCGGUGCUGGGACUAACUUCAUACAGCGGAAGGAUUCGUUCGUCACCAAGGUGUUAUGUGUUCAAGUCUAUAAAAAGAGGGGACCACGGCUAACGUGACUAAUCGGCUGGACGCGAGAAGAGAAGAAGGUAGAGAUAUAGGCACAGGACAGAACUGGUUUGUGGUAUGUAUAAUGGCUAAGCCUUGUGGUAAGUUUACUGCAAUCCUCGGGCUAAUGGCUUACACUAAUUGUAUUAGCAAUAUUCUAUGUAUUAUAUAGCAAUUAUCCCAUACAAAAAAUGUUAUUUGAUCAAAUAUCCUGAUGAACAUUUUCAUCGUUUGAUGUGCACAUUACUUUACAUUUGUAAUAUUAAUAAUACAAAGUCUGCACCCAAAACAAGUUUUAUUGGACGAUCUUAUGUCCACGACUUAUUGUAUUUAUAGAUUCCCUGUGCAUUAUGGGUUCCCUAAGGAGCCACAAGAGCUGCUACUAUAAUAGAACAUUUUCCCCUGUAUAAAUUCUAAAUGGAGUCCUUUCUUAAAGGCACACGUGAUAAAACUUGGUUCUGUAGGCUAUGUAAAAUGUAACGAUAUUUCAAUGCAGCUCAUUUAUUUUAAACCCCUUACUAGCCGUUAACCAGAAUUAAGUACAAUGCUGCGUUUCAUUGGCGACAGCAUGUUUAAACCUGUCAAUGUGCAACACAUAAAGCUAUAGGCACAUGCUCUUGGCUUUUGGGGUUGCUGUCUGUUUCUCUGGGUCUUAUAAUUCUCAGGCCUCUAAAAAGAGCAAGAGAGUACCUUGAAAGGGAAGACGCGUCUUUGUGAAGAUUCAUUUCACUUCCAUGGACUACAUAACACCUAAACUGAAGAACAGUGUGAAAACCGCAGUAUUUUGGGUGUACGCACAUGUAUCGUGGAGUUUAGGGUUGGUCAGGCAAGCUCAGAGAUACUAGCGACUAUAGCCUUUUAGGACUGCAGCGGAUAUCAGACAUGAUUAUUCCCUUUGGGUAGGGUGUAGUAUAUGACGCAUAUGACGUAUAUGCUACAUUUAGAUAUGGGAGGAAAGGGGUGUGUCCAGUAUUUUAGAAUGUGGGAGGCAAGGGGUGUGUCCAGUAUCUUAGAUUGAGGCAUAUCUAGUUCCUUAGUAAGAACAGUGCUUAUGAAUAACCACUAGGUGGUGUACUGAGUGUGGUUUAGUUAACUGCACUGUUAUAUAAGGCAGUAAUGACAAGAUCUAUUUCUGGGUUUGAUGGGAGGGCAAUGAGACUCCUCUGAUUUUAUUUUCCAGGUAUGGCUGAGCCUUGAGAUCACUUUAAAUGAAGUUGCCUAGGCUUCAUCGUCCAAUCUAUUACUUUAUAUAGGUUUUUGAGCUAAAUGUGAUGUGUACUUUGGAAAUAUUGCAAUAAACACUGUUUUUUUCAGUGAUGCCUGGGGGGGAAGGGGUGAAACUAAUAUUCAAUUAACAUGACACCUUGUAACUUGAUCUUGCCUAUGUUUUGGGGUUUAAUUUACUGAAGGGGGAGGGGAUUUUAUAAAAUGGAUAUGUUUUUAGAUCCUUUUCAGAGUGCUCAUGCGUCUCCAGCAGAUGGCUACAGUGGAACCUUUACUUGAUGCGUCCCCAUAGCCUGAGAUGUACGUCUGGCUGCAGUGUCCCUUUAGGAUCAGGAGUCCCUCCUUUUGCCUAACAUAUGCGUACGUCUGGUGUUACUUCAUCAUAAAAAGCCCCAUUAUCAGUUCUUCCUCCCAUAAAGGACAGAUCAUCUUUCCUGCUUGCCACCAAGUUGCCUUAGUUCUUCAUUCCUAAUAAAGAUGGACAUAGGUGUGGAGGCCCUUUGUUCUUGGAAAGGCGUUAGUUGAGGAAAAAAAAUGAACUAAGUAUAACAGAAGUAUGGCCCCUUUACUGAACUUAUGUCGUUUAUUUCUACAUAAAGUGUUGCAGAAUAAUAACAACCUGGACGAUGGUACAAGCCGUGUGCUGAAAAUUGUGCUUCAGUAAUUAUACAUUUCGUUUUUGUUUGUUUUUUUGCUUGUAAGGUGUUGUACGUAUAUUUAAUAUUAUGCUGUGCACUCCUAUACUAUGCAGUAAUCUAAUAUUUGUAUGUGUUUAGGGUUUGCUUAUCGAAGUGCCAUGUCUUUAUGUUCAGAUCUCUGUGUACUGCACAUGCCUCCUGUGUUUAAUUCUAGGCCUUUUUGCCCUGUAGCUGGGGCAUUUUAGUCUGUGUCUUGUUCCUAAACUGCUUUGGCCUAAUGAUAUGGGGUGGGUAUGGGGAUAAUAAUAAUAAUAAUAAUUAUUGGUGAAUGAGGUAUCAAAUGAUAUAUAGUACAACACAUAAACCACUUAAAAAUGCAGUGUCGCCUCACCUCAAGGAUUGGACUCUGCUGAGAAAAGCCAUCUGCAAAAGGCGGUUAUGGUGAUCAUCUGUGGAAGGAAAGGACCAACUUGUUACAGUGAUGCGUUGCUACAUUGGCUUCUUUAUCAAUUGGUCGUUAUUCUGGGAGCGCAAUAUAAAACACACCUACACGUUCUCCAGUAUGGACCUAAACCACGGUCAGCAGAGUGUAAAAUCCGUUAUAAACCUAAUAAGCAGCGUUUAGUGUUUUGGUCUAAAAACCUUACAACCUAUAAGCUCUGAUGGUAUUGAAAAGCUCAGGGAGAGAUUGAGGGUAUUUAUCAUUUGGUGUCUUAUGGGGGUGUUCUCUCAAUUCAAUACCCUAUGAGGGUAUUUUUUCAUUCAAUACAGUAUGAGAGUAUUUUUUUAUUCAAUACUCUAUGAAAGCAUUUACCAUCACUUAAUACCUUGUUCAUCAAUCUGGUCUGCUUUACAGAGAUACACCCGCAUAACUGAUGAGAGCGGUGAAAGCAAAUGAAGCACAGACCAUUAAUGCAACUAGGGUGAAGUGUAUAAACCACGUUUCUAACAAGAUGAUUAUUGGUAUCCGUGUAUAUUUCUGAAUCGACAUUUUGUUAAACAGCAUGUUAAAAGAGGGCCUGAUGUGUGGGUCAGUAUUGUUUAAACACUGUAUUGAAGGUUGAAUUUAUGGGCAAAAACUAAUUCCUCGGCAUUAACUAAGUGCCUCAGUAUAAUUGCAAUGAAUAAAACUAACAAAGGAUAGAGUUGUCUACUACACUGCUUUUAUGAGGUUUAAUACCCAAUAUUCAUACUUUCAAAGUGUCAACUGAAGCUUGAGAUUUGAAGUUUAAUGUAUUGCAGCACGGCCAUAAUAAAAGUCUAGUUUCUGAUUAAAA